This 21-nucleotide microRNA is filed under the name Marchantia polymorpha subsp. ruderalis. The record is from RNAcentral. Lineage: Eukaryota; Viridiplantae; Streptophyta; Marchantiopsida; Marchantiales; Marchantiaceae.
UCCCAAUCUAUCUCUAGUAUU